UUACGGCCAUAUCACGUUGAAAUACCGGUUCCCGUACGAUCACCGAAGUUAAGCAACAUUGACCUUUAUCAGUACUCAGAUAGGUGACUACUUGGAAAUAGCAGGUUCUGUAAG
Non-coding RNA from Acanthosepion pharaonis, 114 nucleotides. Lineage: Eukaryota; Metazoa; Mollusca; Cephalopoda; Sepiida; Sepiidae. The record is from the annotation of a GenBank genome assembly.